AUGUUCCAACGAUGAUGCAUGAUUUUGCGAUUACCGAGAAUUACGUUGUAAUUCCUGAUCAGCAAGUUGUGUUUAAGCUUCAAGAAAUGAUCAAAGGAGGCUCCCCUGUGAUUUAUGACAAAAAUAAGAAAUCAAGGUUCGGAAUUCUACCCAAAAAUGCUGAAAACUCUGAGAAUAUUAUUUGGGUUGAAUCAGCCGAAACGUUCUGUUUUCACCUAUGGAAUGCUUGGGAAGAACCAGAAA
Molecule: unclassified non-coding RNA, 243 nt
Filed under: Hevea brasiliensis (rubber tree)
Lineage: Eukaryota; Viridiplantae; Streptophyta; Magnoliopsida; Malpighiales; Euphorbiaceae
Source: RNAcentral